UACGGAGGAGGCAAGCGUUAUCCGGAAUUAUGGGGCGUAAAGCGUCCGCAGGUGGCACCUCAAGUCUGCUGUCAAAGACCGGGGCUUAACCCCAGAAAGGCAGUGGAAACUGAAGUGCUAGAGUGCAGUAGGGGUAGAGGGAAUUCCCGGUGUAGCGGUGAAAUGCGUAGAGAUCGGGAAGAACAUCGGUGGCGAAAGCGCUCUGCUGGACUGCAACUGACACUCAGGGACGAAAGCUAGGGGAGCGAAUGGG
RNAcentral lists this ribosomal RNA (253 nucleotides) under uncultured bacterium. RNAcentral describes it as "partial 16S ribosomal RNA". It matches the Rfam family "Bacterial small subunit ribosomal RNA", at positions 524 to 776 of the family's 1533-position model. The record is from RNAcentral.